RNAcentral lists this ribosomal RNA (546 nucleotides) under Penicillium pimiteouiense. RNAcentral's name for it is "eukaryotic LSU rRNA". It matches the Rfam family "Eukaryotic large subunit ribosomal RNA", at positions 74 to 635 of the family's 3401-position model. The record is from RNAcentral. Lineage: Eukaryota; Fungi; Ascomycota; Eurotiomycetes; Eurotiales; Aspergillaceae.
AUUGCCUCAGUAACGGCGAGUGAAGCGGCAAGAGCUCAAAUUUGAAAGCUGGCUCCUUCGGGGUCCGCAUUGUAAUUUGCAGAGGAUGCUUCGGGAGCGGCCCCCAUCUAAGUGCCCUGGAACGGGCCGUCAUAGAGGGUGAGAAUCCCGUAUGGGAUGGGGUGCCCGCGACCAUGUGAAGCUCCUUCGACGAGUCGAGUUGUUUGGGAAUGCAGCUCUAAAUGGGUGGUAAAUUUCAUCUAAAGCUAAAUAUUGGCCGGAGACCGAUAGCGCACAAGUAGAGUGAUCGAAAGAUGAAAAGCACUUUGAAAAGAGAGUUAAAAAGCACGUGAAAUUGUUGAAAGGGAAGCGCUUGCGACCAGACUCGCCCGCGGGGUUCAGCCGGUAUUCGUACCGGUGUACUUCCCCGCGGGCGGGCCAGCGUCGGUUUGGGCGGCCGGUCAAAGGCCCUCGGAAUGUAACGCCUCUCGGGGCGUCUUAUAGCCGAGGGUGCCAUGCGGCCAGCCCGGACCGAGGAACGCGCUUCGGCACGGACGCUGGCAUAAU